GCAGACGGGUGAGUAACAUGUAGGUAUCUGCCCUUUGGCCUGGAAUAACACGAGGAAACUUGUGCUAAUACCGGAUAAGUCUUUACAGAGAAAGCUUUAUGCACCAUUGGAUGAGCCUGCACUUGAUUAGUUUGUUGGUGGGGUAAUGGCCUACCAAGACUAUGAUCAAUAGCUGAUUUGAGAGGAUGAUCAGCCACAUUGGGACUGAGACACGGCCCAAACUCCUACGGGAGGCAGCAGUGGGGAAUCUUGCACAAUGGAGGAAACUCUGAUGCAGCGAUGCCGCGUGAGUGAAGAAGGCCCUUGGGUUGUAAAGCUCUUUCGUCGGGGAAGAAAACGACUGUACCCGAAUAAGAAGGUCCGGCUAACUUCGUGCCAGCAGCCGCGGUAAUACGAAGGGACCUAGCGUAGUUCGGAAUUACUGGGCUUAAAGAGUUCGUAGGUGGUUGAAAAAGUUGGUGGUGAAAUCCCAGAGCUUAACUCUGGAACUGCCAUCCAAACUUUUCAGCU
Molecule: ribosomal RNA, 510 nt
Filed under: uncultured bacterium
Lineage: Bacteria
Description: bacterial SSU rRNA
Rfam family: Bacterial small subunit ribosomal RNA
Source: RNAcentral